UGGGGUAUAGUGUAAUGGUAGCACAAUUGAUUCUGGUUCAAUUUGUCCGGGUUCAAAUCCUGGUACCCCAGCCA
This 74-nucleotide transfer RNA is filed under the name Planctomycetes bacterium RIFCSPHIGHO2_02_FULL_40_12. RNAcentral's name for it is "tRNA-Gln". It matches the Rfam family "tRNA". From Rfam's summary of the family: Transfer RNA (tRNA) molecules are approximately 80 nucleotides in length. Their secondary structure includes four short double-helical elements and three loops (D, anti-codon, and T loops). RNAcentral also lists the same sequence under 3 other names. The record is from RNAcentral. Lineage: Bacteria; Pseudomonadati; Planctomycetota.